Molecule: ribosomal RNA, 138 nt
Filed under: Brucella abortus
Lineage: Bacteria; Pseudomonadati; Pseudomonadota; Alphaproteobacteria; Hyphomicrobiales; Brucellaceae
Description: partial 16S ribosomal RNA
Rfam family: Bacterial small subunit ribosomal RNA
Source: RNAcentral
CCAUGGGAGUUGGUUUUACCCGAAGGCGCUGUGCUAACCGCAAGGAGGCAGGCGACCACGGUAGGGUCAGCGACUGGGGUGAAGUCGUAACAAGGUAGCCGUAGGGGAACCUGCGGCUGGAUCACCUCCUUUCUAAGG